GACGAACCGUGCGAACGUUGUUCGGAAUCACUGGGCUUAAAGGGCGCGUAGGCGGCAGUUCAAGUCCGGGGUGAAAUCCUCCAGCUCAACUGGAGAAGUGCCUUGGAUACUGGAUUGCUCGAGGGAGGUAGGGGCCCGCGGAACUUCUGGUGGAGCGGUGAAAUGCGUUGAUAUCAGAAGGAACGCCGGUGGCGAAAGCGGCGGGCUGGAUCUAUACUGACGCUGAGGCGCGAAAGCUAGGGGAGCAAACGGG
RNAcentral lists this ribosomal RNA (253 nucleotides) under uncultured bacterium. RNAcentral describes it as "partial 16S ribosomal RNA". It matches the Rfam family "Bacterial small subunit ribosomal RNA", at positions 524 to 776 of the family's 1533-position model. The record is from RNAcentral.